Molecule: ribosomal RNA, 456 nt
Filed under: uncultured Thiothrix sp.
Lineage: Bacteria; Pseudomonadati; Pseudomonadota; Gammaproteobacteria; Thiotrichales; Thiotrichaceae
Description: bacterial SSU rRNA
Rfam family: Bacterial small subunit ribosomal RNA
Source: RNAcentral
CCCGCACAAGCGGUGGAGCAUGUGGUUUAAUUCGAAGCAACGCGAAGAACCUUACCAGGCCUUGACAUGCAGAGAACUUUCCAGAGAUGGAUUGGUGCCUUCGGGAACUCUGACACAGGUGCUGCAUGGCUGUCGUCAGCUCGCGUCGUGAGAUGUUGGGUUAAGUCCCGCAACGAGCGCAACCCUUAUCAUUAGUUGCUACGCAAGGGCACUCUAAUGAGACUGCCGGUGACAAACCGGAGGAAGGUGGGGAUGACGUCAAGUCCUCAUGGCCCUUAUGGGUAGGGCUUCACACGUCAUACAAUGGUCGGUACAGAGGGUUGCCAAGCCGCGAGGUGGAGCCAAUCCCAGAAAGCCGAUCGUAGUCCGGAUUGUUCUCUGCAACUCGAGAGCAUGAAGUCGGAAUCGCUAGUAAUCGCGGAUCAGCAUGUCGCGGUGAAUACGUUCCCGGGUCUU